Molecule: long non-coding RNA, 446 nt
Filed under: Pan troglodytes (chimpanzee)
Lineage: Eukaryota; Metazoa; Chordata; Mammalia; Primates; Hominidae
Description: long non-coding RNA NONPTRT015759
Source: RNAcentral
GGAAGGCAUUGGGAAAGUCAAAAGGACACCAGAAAUAGUGAACUCAACAUUCAUUUGCACAUUUGACCAAGGCUGGAGCAGUGGAAAGAGAACUAUGCACAAGGAUGAGGAGAAUAAUUGUGACUGUGGGACAGGGCCCCAGGAGAGAGGUAUAGCAGACUGGCCUUGAAAAGCCUGCAGCUGCUUCAGGAAGGCAAAGCAUGCUUGGAAAAAAUGCUGACUGAAGUAAGGCAGAACCUGGAGGGUGGGUGGAUACUCCAUAACUGUAUUCAAAUUGGGCACUCUCUUGUUGUAAAGCCUUUGCAUAAGUGCAACUGAGAAAAUAUAUGGUAAAAAAAAAAAGUCUAUGUUCUGACCAGCUCGAGGAUGGGGGAAAAUCAUGCAUAAUAUGUGCAAACUAUGUGAAGAAAAGUACAAGUUAAUAUGAUCACAAAAAUAUUCAGAAA